UUCGCCCAACGUCGAUCCACAAUGCUCAUAAUACGUUUCAUGUUAAGGCCCAUAAGGCCCAUAAGGCCUAUAUGCCUAUAUAUAUGCUACAGUACCCGUGGGGGUGAUUAUCUCGGCUAAUCAAGGUUAGUAACAUUUCAGACAUGCUUUCUUGUUUUGAGUAGAAAAUGAGGAGGUAAUCUUAUUCUUUGCUAUAGUCAUGGCUGCAGCAACCUCAGCCAUGGCUGGCUUCUCAUCACCAUCAACCAAUCUCAGCACGACAAGAAGCGGUAAAGAAGCUCUAAGACAAUCCUCAAUUGAAUUCCAAAAUUCUUGAGAGAAAACGAUGUCAUAUGCUUUUUUACCUGCCUCUGUUUUGGAUACCUUGGAUUGAGUGAAAACAUCACUUGAAAAUAGACCUUUCAAUGAGUUUUUGUGCUUGUGCAAACUCUUCAUGGUAAGGAAGGCAGUAGCAAAUCUAGUAGCAGCAGGUCUCACAAGAUCCAUCCCAUUUGUAUGCACCCUCAUUUCACUAAGUAUCCUCCCAUGCCUAUAAAUAAAAGUGGUGACAUGACGAGCACGAGCAAUAGGCUUCUUAAAAUCCUUCAACUUUCCUAUGUCCUCCAACAUAAGGUCCAAGCAAUGUGCCGCACAAGGAGUCCAGAACAAGGUAGGAAUCCUCUCCAUUAAAAUCUUACCUGCUGCCUUAUAAUUAGCACCAUUAUCAGUGACAAUCUGAGUAACGUUUUCCUUACCAAUCCCUUCAAUUCUCUUUUCUAACAAGUCUGCAAGCAUCACUGCACUGUGUGACUCAUUUGAUGCAUCAACUGACUCCAAGAAAAAUGUUCCUUGAGGGUUGUUAACAAGGAAAUUGAUCAAAUGGCGACCUCUUUUGUUUGUCCAACCAUCAGACAUGAGUGUGCAACCAUAUUGGCUCCAUGCUUCCUCAUGCUUCUUCCUCUCAUCAUCUAUGUCUUUGACAGCCCUAGCAAGUAAAGGCUCACGUAGCUCAUGGAAAGUAGGAGGCUUGAAACCAGAUCCAUAUUGAGCAAUAGCCUCCACAGCUACCUCAAAUUGCCUUGAGUUCGCAGCAUUGAAUGGUAUACCACACUCAUAGAAAAACUUGGCAAUCUCCAAACAAACAGAAUUUCUUUCUUCCUUAGGCUUCAUGGUAGCACUUAUGGUAGUUUGAGCAGGUCCAUUUGCAUGUCUCUCUGCUACAACCUCUUGAGGUGUACGUCGAACCAUAGAUGCAACUGACUUCUUUGGAGCUGCAAUUGGGUGGGGCUUCAAUUGGAAUAUUGCUUUGUUUCUUUUGGCAGCUGUUCCAGAACUUGGCACAGUACAUGAGGAAGCCUUGGAUGAUGCUGACAUUGACCUGCUUCCCAUAACUUGGACAUCAUCUUCUUGUCCUGCUUCAUCUUCCAUUACAUCGUCAUCUAGGUACAACGGCCUAGCCCGCUUCCCAUGAUUCAAAGCUUCAUUCAUCUCUUUAGCAAUCUCUCUAGUAGUGUUAGGACACUUGACAAUGUCUCCAUAGCCACCAGCUAGAUGUUGUUUCACCCUCUUGAUACCUCCUUUUAUUUGUUUGGGGCACAAAGCACAUUGAAUCAGCUCUCGCUUUCCCGCCUCAACAUAGUAAGCAUAUUUCCAUCCUGGAUCAUUUGACUUUGGCCUUCGUGACUGAUAUUUGAGUGGGUCAUAGGAGUCAUUAGCCUCGCUAUUUGUUGCCAUUGCAAUUGAAAUUCACUGCCACACAGCCCACACUUUAACCUGCAACAGUGCAACACACAAUGGAAUGAACAUCAGCAGCCCACAGCCACACAGCCACAGUGGAAUUCACUGCCACACAGCCAGCCCACACUUUGCAAUUGAAAUUCGUUGCUGGGUUGUGAUGCUAAGCAGUUUAAAUUCGUUGCUGGGUUGCUGGGUUGUUAUACUUAGCAGUUUUAACACAGGGAAUCAGCAGCCAAGACAGCCAAGGGAUUCUGGACUCUGGACUUCUGGAGGGCGGCCGAUAGCGACAACAUACCUGGAGGGAGGAGGGAGGAGGGAGGAUGGAGGAGGGGGCGACAUACCUGGAGCGUGGAGAGCGGAUGACGUCUGGGCGGUCUGGCGGCUGGAGCGGCUGCGUCUGGCGGCUGGGCGUGCGCAAGCCUUUGGCUUUGCUCCUGGGCGUUGGAUAGCAGGCCGGCUGGGUGGGUAAAUGACUUAAGGCGGCCCAUUAAGGCCCACUAGUAUACAUCGCGUAGAACGUCCACAAAACAGGAAAAACGUCCAGAACGGACGUUCUGACGUUUUAACGUCGUUUAAACGUCCAGAACGGACGUUCUACGCUGUUUUUGAUUUGAAAAACGUGCAGACGUUCCAGCCUCUAAUCACGUUUUAGCGUUUAAACGACGCUUAAUCGUCGUUUAAACGACGUUUUAAUAACAAUGUCCCCAGCAUUUUUGCAGGUAAUUAAUAGAAGUUUUCCUAUUAAAUAUAUAGUGCAGGUACCCGUAUUAGGGGUGGUAAUGGAUCGCGAUCCAAAUGUUCCUUCACAAAUUCUUAGGGCCCUAAAUAAAUUUUAGUUCAAAAAUGAAUAGAAAUAGAGCCUGACCCUAAUCUGAUCCGAUUCUUAAAUUUUAUAGUGUAAAAUUUAGAACCUAUUGUCACCCCUAACCUGUAUACACUCAGGGAUUGGUACUACUUACUCAGCAUAUGUUUAGUCUGAUGAGCAGUGUUUUUCCUUUUCAUUUGGAUAUGGUAACAUCUCAACUAUUUUUUUAUGUUGUCUUGUAUCUUGGGCUGUAUAUACCUUGGUUUGACAUCCCUCUUACUGGAGUCCAGUAUUCUCCCUUGUUUGUUUCCAACGGUUCCUUCCUGAUUAGCUAUAUACUAUUAACCUAAUUAGUUAGAACUAAAAUGCAGAUCUAGAUACAAUUUGAUAUUUUGAUAUGUACUUCAGUGUGUUUGGGAACAUCUAUGUUUUUCUUUGUUUAAAUACACAAAAAUGUCUUUCAACUAAGUGAGUGUUUGAAUGCA
Molecule: long non-coding RNA, 3006 nt
Organism: Zea mays
Lineage: Eukaryota; Viridiplantae; Streptophyta; Magnoliopsida; Poales; Poaceae
Exons: 2
Source: RefSeq, a predicted model, not a curated record